Molecule: ribosomal RNA, 468 nt
Filed under: uncultured bacterium
Lineage: Bacteria
Description: bacterial SSU rRNA
Rfam family: Bacterial small subunit ribosomal RNA
Source: RNAcentral
CUGGCUCAGAACGAACGCUGGCGGCAGGUCUUAGACAUGCAAGUCGAACGGAUGACAAGGGAGCUUGCUCCUUGAAGUCAGUGGCGCACGAGUGAGUAACGCGUGGGAAACUGCCCUUCACUGGGGAAUAACGUUUGGAAACGAACGCUAAUACCGCAUACGCCCGCAAGGGGAAAGAUUUAUCGGUGAUGGAUGUGCCCGCGUUGGAUUAGCUAGUUGGUGGGGUAAUGGCCUACCAAGGCGAUGAUCCAUAGCUGGUCUGAGAGGACGAUCAGCCACGCUGGAACUGAGACACGGUCCAGACUCCUACGGGAGGCAGCAGCUAAGAAUAUUGGGCAAUGGAGGAAACUCUGACCCAAGCCAUGCCGCGUGAAUGAAGAAGGCCUUCGGGUUGUAAAGUUCUUUUAGUCAUGAAGAUGAUGACAGUAGUGACAGAAAAGCACCGGCUAACUUCGUGCCAGCCGCCGC